UACGAAGGGGGCUAGCGUUGCUCGGAAUUACUGGGCGUAAAGGGCGCGUAGGCGGACAGUUUAGUCAGAGGUGAAAGCCCAGGGCUCAACCUUGGAAUUGCCUUUGAUACUGGCUAUCUUGAGUUCGGGAGGGGUGAGUGGAAUGCCGAGUGUAGAGGUGAAAUUCGUAGAUAUUCGGCGGAACACCAGUGGCGAAGGCGACUCACUGGCCCGAUACUGACGCUGAGGCGCGAAAGCGUGGGGAGCAAACAGG
This 253-nucleotide ribosomal RNA is filed under the name uncultured bacterium. RNAcentral describes it as "partial 16S ribosomal RNA". It matches the Rfam family "Bacterial small subunit ribosomal RNA", at positions 524 to 776 of the family's 1533-position model. The record is from RNAcentral.